AUGCUCCUGGUGCCUCCCUCCGAGUGGGAGGGGGAGAGGGGCGUCAGCGGCGAGCCGGAUGGGGCGAGGGGCGUCGAUGAGAUGCCCCCGGCGCUUCCCUCCGGGCGGGAGGAGGAGAGGGGCGUCGGCGACGAGGCGGGUGUCGGCGGCGAGAUGGUCUCUGACGGGCGUGAUGAGGUGGGCAGCUUAUGCGUGGAGCGUGCGUUCGCGGAGGUAUUCGCCAGGGCGCUCUUCUAUCCGACGGUGAUGCUCAACUACGGCCGCAGCUUGAUCGAGCCCGAGUUCCACUGGUGGGAUCGCAUCGACAAAGGAUAUUUGGAUAGGGGCAGUUCCUCACCAACCAAUGUCAUAAUUUAUCACGUCCGCAAAUGA
Molecule: ribosomal RNA, 372 nt
Filed under: Triticum aestivum (bread wheat)
Lineage: Eukaryota; Viridiplantae; Streptophyta; Magnoliopsida; Poales; Poaceae
Description: partial small subunit ribosomal RNA
Source: RNAcentral